This 492-nucleotide ribosomal RNA is filed under the name uncultured bacterium. RNAcentral describes it as "partial 16S ribosomal RNA". It matches the Rfam family "Bacterial small subunit ribosomal RNA", at positions 29 to 507 of the family's 1533-position model. The record is from RNAcentral.
AGUGAACGCUGGCGGUAGGCCUAACACAUGCAAGUCGAACGGCAGCACAGUAAGAGCUUGCUCUUACGGGUGGCGAGUGGCGGACGGGUGAGGAAUACAUCGGAAUCUACUUUUUCGUGGGGGAUAACGUAGGGAAACUUACGCUAAUACCGCAUACGACCUACGGGUGAAAGCAGGGGAUCUUCGGACCUUGCGCGAUUGAAUGAGCCGAUGUCGGAGUAGCUAGUUGGCGGGGUACAGGCCCACCAAGGCGACGAUCCGUAGCUGGUCUGAGAGGAUGAUAAGCCACACUGGAACUGAGACACGGUCCAGACUCCUACGGGAGGCAGCAGUGGGGAAUAUUGGACAAUGGGCGCAAGCCUGAUCCAGCCAUACCGCGUGGGUGAAGAAGGCCUUCGGGUUGUAAAGCCCUUUUGUUGGGAAAGAAAAGCAGCAGGUUAAUACCCCGCUGUUCUGACGGUACCCAAAGAAUAAGCACCGGCUAACUUCGUG